Polypterus senegalus (gray bichir) is the source of this 476-nucleotide long non-coding RNA. RefSeq lists it as uncharacterized. The transcript has 3 exons. NCBI's taxonomy places the organism in Eukaryota, Metazoa, Chordata, Cladistia, Polypteriformes, Polypteridae. The record is from RefSeq and is a predicted model, not a curated record.
AGGGCCACGGAAUAGACUUAUUGAACGGGGGCCGGAGACGCGUCUAACUGGUAAAACGCGGACUGGAGUAAAGCUGGAUCGCGUUACUGGCAAGCAAGGACUUGGUGAGGACUUGAUGAUUGUUGCAGUAUGGCCUGAUAUGGAAACAGACCUGAACGAGUGAUAACCUGAUCCCAGCCGCUGACCCACAGCCGCAGGACCAACCUGACAAGGAGGACUAUCUGAGCCUGAACUGAAGAAGGGAGUCGAGACAGGACAACUGUUCAAGCCACUGAUUGUUUGCUGUGUCGGUGCAUUGUGAAGUGGUAGCUCCCGCUUCUAUAAAUUCACAUGCUGUUUUUGUGUUAAACUGAAUAAUAAAGUUGGUUCUCCUGAAGCCCUGUGAAUAAGCCUCAUCUGUCUAGUGGUCAUUCCAUUUGUUCACAGCACAGCGCACUGCAGCCACUAACCAGUACUUAGAAUGAGAACAGGCUGCU